This 253-nucleotide ribosomal RNA is filed under the name uncultured bacterium. RNAcentral's name for it is "partial 16S ribosomal RNA". It matches the Rfam family "Bacterial small subunit ribosomal RNA", at positions 524 to 776 of the family's 1533-position model. The record is from RNAcentral.
UACGAAGGGUGCAAGCGUUACUCGGCAUUACUGGGCGUAAAGCGUGCGUCGGCGGUUCGUUAAGUCUGAUGUGAAAUCCCCGGGCUCAACCUGGGACGUGCAUUGGAAACUGGCGAUCUAGAGUACGGUAGAGGGUGGUGGAAUUCCCGGUGUAGCAGUGAAAUGCGUAGAGAUCGGGAGGAACACUCGUGGCGAAGGCGGCCACCUGGACCAGUACUGACGCUGAGGCACGAAAGCGUGGGGAGCAAAUAGG